AGAGUUUGAUCCUGGCUCAGAAUCAACGCUGGCGGCGCGCCUAACACAUGCAAGUCGAGCGAGAAAGCAGGAGCAAUCUUGUGAGUAAAGCGGCGUACGGGUGAGUAACACGUGGAUUAUCUACCUCUUUGUGGGGGAUAACCCUGGGAAACCGGGGCUAAUACCGCAUAAGUCCGAGAGGAGAAAGCAGCAAUGCGCAGAGAGAGGAGUCCGCGGCCGAUUACGCUAGUUGGUAGGGUAAAAGCCUACCAAGGCUAAGAUCGGUAGCCGGCCUGAGAGGGCACACGGCCACACUGGCACUGAAACACGGGCCAGACUCCUACGGGAGGCAGCAGUGGGGAAUCUUGCACAAUGGGGGCAACCCUGAUGCAGCGACGCCGCGUGAGCGAUGAAGCCCUUCGGGGUGUAAAGCUCUUUCGGCAGGGAAGAUUAUGACGGUACCUGCAGAAGCAGCUGCGGCUAACUACGUGCCAGCAGCCGCGGUAAUACGUAGGCAGCGAGCGUUGUUCGGAGUUACUGGGCGUAAAGGGUGUGUAGGCGGUUUUCUAAGUCUGGUGUGAAAUCUCCCGGCUCAACUGGGAGGGUGCGCCGAAAACUGGAAGGCUAGAGUGCGGGAUGGGUAAGUGGAAUUCCUGGUGUAGCGGUGAAAUGCGUAGAUAUCAGGAGGAACCCUGUGGUGUAGACGGCUUACUGGACCGCAACUGACGCUGAGACACGAAAGCGUGGGUAGCAAACAGGAUUAGAUACCCUAGUAGUCC
RNAcentral lists this ribosomal RNA (758 nucleotides) under uncultured bacterium. Its description in RNAcentral is "bacterial SSU rRNA". It matches the Rfam family "Bacterial small subunit ribosomal RNA", at positions 8 to 796 of the family's 1533-position model. The record is from RNAcentral.